Molecule: long non-coding RNA, 208 nt
Filed under: Elaeis guineensis (African oil palm)
Lineage: Eukaryota; Viridiplantae; Streptophyta; Magnoliopsida; Arecales; Arecaceae
Description: long non-coding RNA (EGUI_LNC029441)
Source: RNAcentral
ACAGCAGCCCAAGAUAGAAAAGCCUACAGAAGAAAAGCUCGAGACGUGAAGAGCCCAUGAAAGCAUGGUCCGGAGGCUUGUAGUACAUGGUUCGAGGGCUUGUAGCAUGUGGCCUGCAGCGUGCACAGCCCAGGGGGCCUACUGCAUGUUGGGCCAGCAUGUGCCCAGGUGCAUGAAAUGCAGCGGUCCACAGUGGACCAUGGGAGGA